UGGGCUUGACAUGUCCGGCAUCCUGCAGAGAUGCGGGAGUGCCCUUCGGGGAAUCGGAACAC
RNAcentral lists this ribosomal RNA (62 nucleotides) under uncultured organism. Its description in RNAcentral is "partial 16S ribosomal RNA". The record is from RNAcentral.